Molecule: ribosomal RNA, 429 nt
Filed under: Actinomycetes bacterium
Lineage: Bacteria; Bacillati; Actinomycetota; Actinomycetes
Description: Actinobacteria bacterium partial 16S ribosomal RNA
Rfam family: Bacterial small subunit ribosomal RNA
Source: RNAcentral
UAGGGAAUCUUCCGCAAUGGGCGAAAGCCUGACGGAGCAACGCCGCGUGAGUGAUGAAGGUCUUCGGAUCGUAAAACUCUGUUAUUAGGGAAGAACAAAUGUGUAAGUAACUAUGCACGUCUUGACGGUACCUAAUCAGAAAGCCACGGCUAACUACGUGCCAGCAGCCGCGGUAAUACGUAGGUGGCAAGCGUUAUCCGGAAUUAUUGGGCGUAAAGCGCGCGUAGGCGGUUUUUUAAGUCUGAUGUGAAAGCCCACGGCUCAACCGUGGAGGGUCAUUGGAAACUGGAAAACUUGAGUGCAGAAGAGGAAAGUGGAAUUCCAUGUGUAGCGGUGAAAUGCGCAGGGAUAUGGAGGAACACCAGGGGAGAAGGCGACUUUCUGGUCUGUAACUGACGCUGAUGUGCGAAAGCGUGGGAAUCAAACAGG